RNAcentral lists this long non-coding RNA (739 nucleotides) under Sus scrofa (pig). RNAcentral describes it as "lncRNA (ENSSSCG00015002954.1)". Lineage: Eukaryota; Metazoa; Chordata; Mammalia; Artiodactyla; Suidae. The record is from RNAcentral.
AACACAGGAUCCUUAACCCAGCGAGUGAGGCCAGGGGUCGAACCUGCAUCCUCGUGGAUCCUCGUUGGAUUCGUUAACCGCGGAGCCAGGAGGGGGAACUCUGUUCAUCUCAUGUUUUAAGACAAAUUCAUUCUAAGGCAGCGAGCUUGGAGGUCUCUUCCAUGGAGCGCUGAGAAUUCUCCCUCUUUAAGAAAGGAGGCAGGAUUCCUGGGCUGGAACACUACUGACGGGACCGUGGGGCUGGCGCAUCUGUGGUUUGAGGCAUUUGGAAUCCGAAAUUGCAGUCAUUCACAGAAUGACUUACAGGCCACCCUGGAUGGUGCCAGCACAAUGGUCACCACUGUGAGGAGGAAGCAGACAGCCAUGGCCAGGACCUUUGGGUGCUGCCCUCUGAGGAGGAAGAAGGCAGGGCCUCAGGGUUGGCAGGGGUCUCAGCUUCCAGGAUGAGUAUGGAGACAAACAAGGCAUGAGGCACCCUGGAGAAAUCGUGUGUCCAUCAGCAUCUCUCUUCGGCCCAUUCUGGCUCCAGGUACACGUGAGGAGCCCUGCACAGGGCUGGAGGGAAGGGCUAGGAAGUCGGGGCUGAUCCUGCACAGAAGGGUUGGCAGGCUCAGGUGACACUAAGAUCCACUGGGAGGUUGGGUCCCCCUCUUUCAGGGUUGUGCUCUGGCAUAUGAGGUGUUCUACAGAAUUUUGGGCUAGGACUGGGGUUCUUAUUCUGCCCUCUUAGCUUCUAGCU